RNAcentral lists this ribosomal RNA (567 nucleotides) under Triticum aestivum (bread wheat). Its description in RNAcentral is "partial small subunit ribosomal RNA". The record is from RNAcentral. Lineage: Eukaryota; Viridiplantae; Streptophyta; Magnoliopsida; Poales; Poaceae.
AUGAUCUGUGUGUUAAUGAGCUUAAUAACAUUGUAUAUAUAUAUAUAUAUGUACUUCUUUGUCAUUGAUGAUGUAUGGAAAGAACAACACUGGGAAUUUGUCAAAGCAGUUUUUCGUGACAAUUAUAAUGGUAGCAGAAUAAUUGUUACGACCCACAUUACCAAGGUAGCCAAGUCAUGUUGUUCCAACUCUGGUGAUCAGCUCUAUCAAAUGCCACAUCUGAAUUUUGUUGAUUCUAGAAGAUUGUUCUAUAAGAGAAUUUUAAACUCCCAACACUCCUGCCCUCCUCAACUAGAAGAUGUUUUAGCUACGAUCUUAAGAAAAUGUGGUGGGGUGACAUUGGCUAUACUUACCGUUGCGAGUUUGCUAUCCCAUAAACCGCAAAACCCAACUGAAUGGGAGAGACUCCAAGAUUCCAUUGGUACUGGUCUUUCAUAUGAGAGUGAUGACGAUGGAAAAUGUAUGAAACACAUAUUGUUACUUAGUUAUUGGGAUCUUCCAAACCACCUGAAGACUUGUUUGUUGUACUUAUGUAUAUAUCCAGAGGACGCGAAAAAUCUCGUGUGA